AGAGAGAUGUUGAUAUGUGUCAUUUGAAGUGAGGAUUAGAGGGACUUGAACCAUUCAUAGCUUGUUCGGUUAUGUCUGGAUCGAAGAGGGUUGGAAGGUCCUUUCUAGUUAAAAUUAAAUAGAAAGAGAUUGAAUCCCUUUAACCUCCUAUCCAGAUGUGACCAAACAAACUCUCAUUGGGAGUAAAAGGGGUUCAGUUUCCUCUAAUAUCUCAUCUUAAAUGGCCCAUCAUCUCCU
Molecule: non-coding RNA, 237 nt
Organism: Zea mays
Lineage: Eukaryota; Viridiplantae; Streptophyta; Magnoliopsida; Poales; Poaceae
Source: RefSeq, marked provisional